This 93-nucleotide transfer RNA is filed under the name Streptomyces parvus. Its description in RNAcentral is "tRNA-Ser". The record is from RNAcentral. Lineage: Bacteria; Bacillati; Actinomycetota; Actinomycetes; Kitasatosporales; Streptomycetaceae.
GCUCGGGUGGCGGAGGCGAUGGGGGCGGCUCCGGUGCUUCCGGUGACGGGCCCGGCGGUGGGGGCGGCGGUUCGGGUGCCGCCCCCGGUCCCC